RNAcentral lists this unclassified non-coding RNA (432 nucleotides) under soil metagenome. Its description in RNAcentral is "partial contains 5.8S ribosomal RNA, internal transcribed spacer 2, and large subunit ribosomal RNA". The stretch from base 1 to 120 matches the Rfam family "5.8S ribosomal RNA", at positions 35 to 154 of the family's 154-position model. The record is from RNAcentral.
GAUGAAGAACGUAGCGAAAUGCGAUAAGUAAUGUGAAUUGCAGAAUUCAGUGAAUCAUCGAAUCUUUGAACGCAUAUUGCGCUCUCUGGUAUUCCGGAGAGCAUGCUUGUUUGAUUAUCAGUAAACACCUCAACUUCCAUAUCUUUUUUGAAAUGGGAGUUGGACUUGAGUGAUCCCAACGCUUUUCCUCACCGAAAAGUGGCGGGUUACUUGAAAUGCAGGUGCAGCUGGACUUUUCUCUGAGCUAUAAGCAUAUCUAUUUAGUCUGCCUAAAAAACAGAUUAUUACCUUUGCUGCAGCUAACAUAAAGGAGAUUAGUUCUUGUGCUGACUGAUGCAGGAUUCACAAAGACGGCUUCGGCCGACUUUGUAAACUCGAUCUCAAAUCAAGUAAGACUACCCGCUGAACUUAAGCAUAUCAAUAAGCGGAGGA